This 1503-nucleotide long non-coding RNA is filed under the name Bos indicus x Bos taurus (hybrid cattle). RNAcentral describes it as "lncRNA (ENSBIXG00000005159.1)". The record is from RNAcentral. Lineage: Eukaryota; Metazoa; Chordata; Mammalia; Artiodactyla; Bovidae.
AUGCAUUGCAGUUCACAGCACCUGGUCACCUUUCAGACAAACCACCUUACUUACUUCCUAUUCUACAGCUGCGGAUUUCCUAUGCAUAGAAUCCUCCUCUGGGACUCACCAUACUGUGUGUGCAGGCUCCACUGGGCCCUCCAUGUUGCCUUGAGAGAUCUGAGGACUGGUGCGACAAUACUGAUACACCUGUUUCUCCUGCUGCAACUGGUAAAGUCCUUUGUCUCUGACUCAAGAGUCCCACGUCAGCAUCCAUGGAACUGCGACAGGCUUACUUAUCAACUUGUAUGGUUUUUUGUUGGAAGUUAUCCUGCUUCUGCGAUGUCAAAUUUAUUGAAAUUUGAAGCUGAAAGUAUGAUUCUGAGACAAGGACACGUACCCUUGAAAUACUACUUGGUUCGUGCUGGACAUUUAAAGGUCAUGUCAAGUAAUAUAAGCAUGAACAAAAAUACCAACUCUGAAAUUUUAAGUGCGUUUGGAGAAGGCAACUUCAUAGGGGAUUUUUAUGGUAUUCUUGUACAGACAGUACAACAAUAUCAAGAAACAUGCAACUUCCUAAGGUAGGCAUUUUCUGUAGUUAGUUCAUACAGUUUUAAAAGACUCAUUAACAAAUUCAUGUGAUAGUUUUUACUUGAAGUUCGGAAUAAUCUCCAACAAAUGUUUACUGUGGUGGAAGGCAGCAGGGGGUGUUGAGAAACACAUGUGCCUUGAAGACACACAGACCUGGAUCUGAGUCCCAAGGUUAUCACUUCUUAGUGAUGCACAUUUAGGAAAGUAAAUAUACCUUUUACCCUCAGUUUUUCUUUUUUCCAUAUAUAAAAUGGGAAAGUGAGAGUAGAUCAUAAGGAACAAAAUGUGUCUAAGUACAUCAGAUUCAGAAGUCAAGGUAGGGAGAAUCAAGGUGAAUGGGUAUUUUCAAGAGAAGCUUCACCUAUCAAUCUUUAGUAAAGACUAUUGCUCUCACAGUGGCAUAGUCAGAUCACCACCUUAAUAGCAUCUGAGAAACAGGAAAACCACUGUUUGUUUGCAAAAGAUUAACCAUACCAUGCGGAGAAGGCAAUGGCACCCCACUCCUGUACUCUUGCCUGGAAAAUCCCAUGGACGGAGGAGCCUGGUAGGCUGCAGUCCAUGGGGUCACGAAGAGUCAGACACGACUGAGUGAGUUUACUUUCACUUUUCACUUUCAUGCAUUGGAGAAGGAAAUGGCAACCCACUCCAGUGUUCUUGCCUGGAGAAUCCCAGGGACGGGGGAGCCUGGUGGGCUGCUGUCUAUGGGGUCACACAGGGUCUGACACGACUGAAGCGACUUAGCAGCAGCAACCAUACCAUGAUAUGUAAUGUCAAUUCUAAAUGACACUGAAGUGAAGAAUAACUACUGGUAUUAUGGGUACAUGUGAAUUCUGUGUUAUUACUUGAAUGGAAUAGCACUAUUGUAGCUUGGGAGUUUGCUUCAAAAGUGAUAUUUUCCCUUCCAAGGAAAAUAAAAAAAUCCUUUUCAAGGCA